Molecule: ribosomal RNA, 270 nt
Filed under: uncultured archaeon
Lineage: Archaea
Description: partial 16S ribosomal RNA
Rfam family: Archaeal small subunit ribosomal RNA
Source: RNAcentral
CAGCGCUACAAGUGGCAACCAUGUUUAUUGGGCCUAAAGCAUCCGUAGCCGGCGCUGUAAGUUUUCGGUUAAAUCUGUACGCUCAACGUACAGGCUGCCGGGAAUACUGCAGCGCUAGGGAGUGGGAGAGGUAGACGGUACUCGGUAGGAAGGGGUAAAAUCCUUUGAUCUAUUGAUGACCACCUGUGGCGAAGGCGGUCUACCAGAACACGUCCGACGGUGAGGGAUGAAAGCUGGGGGAGCAAACCGGAUUAGAUACCCGAGUAGUCC